Molecule: long non-coding RNA, 3040 nt
Organism: Bactrocera neohumeralis
Lineage: Eukaryota; Metazoa; Arthropoda; Insecta; Diptera; Tephritidae
Exons: 3
Source: RefSeq, a predicted model, not a curated record
UUCCGAAACUAAUGUUGCUCCUGCUUUUAUUUCUUUUAUCUGCAAGUUUUUUUCUUUUCAUUUUUUACAUUUUCUUGUUUUUUUUAUUUAAAUUUCUGACAAACAUGUUUUUUUUUAAUAUACAAUAUGUUAACGAGGGCAAGACGAAAUAUCUCCUGUCAUCAAACAAACAGUCGUCGCACUCGCAACUUGGCACUCACGUCACUGUUGACAGUCAUAACUUUGAAGUCGUAGAUAAUUUCGUCUAUCUUGGAACCAGCGUAAACACCACCAACAAUGUCAGCCUAGAAAUUCACCGCAGGAUAACUCUUGUCAACAGGUGCUACUUCGGACUGAGUAGGCAAUUGAGAAGCAAAGUCUUCUCUCGACAAACAAAAACCAAACUCCAUAAGUCACUCAUAAUUCGCGUCCUGCGAUAUGGUGCAGAGUCUUGGACGAUGACAACAACUGAUGAGUCGACGUUGCGAGUUUUCGAGAGAAAAAUUCUGCGAAAGAUUUAUGGUCCUUUGCGCGUUAGCCACGGCGAAUACCGCAUUCGAUGGAACGAUGAGCUGUACGAGAUAUACGACGACAUCGACAUAGUUCAGCGAAUUAAAAGACAGCGGCUACGCUGGCUAGGUCAUGUUGUCCGGAUGGACGAAAACACUCCAGCUCUGAAAAUAUUCGACGCAGUAACCGCCGGGGGAAGCAGAGGAAGAGGAAGACCUCCACUCCGUUGGAAGGACCAAGUGGAGAAGGACCUGGCUUCGCUUGGAAUAAUAUGUUUUUGUAAUUUCUGUUUUACAAUUGUGUAUAUUAAAGAUUUUACUGCUACAAUAAUUUUGUUCUGGUCAAUUAUAAGCCUACCAUCUAAUUGAGCUAUGACUCUUAUAUCAUAGUACUUACAGUAACGACCAAACAUUUGCAACUUGAGCGAAGUCCUCGAUUUUUUUACAGCAUUGAGGUUACAUAUUUUGCAAUGUUUAUCGCGAUCUUUUUUUAUUUUGCCAGUUAUAUUUGAAAACAAUUUAAAAUGUAUGGCAAUCCGCCACGACAAAACAAUUGCAACUCUGUUUUGUUCGUUUCUUUUCUCCUUUGUUCGUUUCUUUUCUCCUUUGUUCGUUUUUUUUCCUAACGGUAUGGAGUUUGAAUCAGAGAGCUGCAACAAGUAUGAUAAGCAACAACUUGAAACCUAAGCGCAGUAGGUAACAUACAACGGCGCUUAGGUCUCAAGUUAACUCUUACGGGUACCACCUGCCAAUAAGAAUGAUUAUUGAAACACAACUUUAUAAUAUUAAAACAGAGAAUAUUUUAUUAAAAAUAAAACUAAAAUAAUCGAUCCAUAUAUAAAAACUAAUGUGAAGGAUGAAUCUGAUGCUGUUUAAUAAUUUUGUUAAUAUCAGGUUCCAAUUUACUCAAGAACAGUCGCAAGUCGUCACGUUCGGUAACAAGCAAACGAUUUCUAUUUUUAUUAAGCAGUGUUGUCACAGCACUAAAUCCACGUUCACGCCAAUAUGACGAUGGGAAUGCUAUCAAGAAUCGUUGAACGAUUCACCACAAUCCAGGGUACAAUUGCGAGAUCGGUUUUUGUAGCCAAAAUUCUUGCUGAGGUGACAUUGCUGUGUUGACAUUUGACAACGGAUCCAACACCCAGUCUGGUAUUUCCAAGUUCAAAAUGUCCUGGUAUCGUUCGGUGAAGUCAAUGUGGAGGUUUUCCAAAUGUUGGCAGUAGGCAAACAAUUCGUCGUUACUGCAUGAUACUGAUAAAUUCGGAAAAUUGUGAAACUCACGUCUGCUCAGAUUCUUUUUGUGUAGAAGCAGUUUGGCUGCGAAAGCAGCAACGACGUUUUUUGUUUUAAUUAAAUUUAGUUUAUCGCCUUGCAGUUGGAGAUUCAUGUCGUUGAACAAUUUAUACAGGUCUGUCAUUUUCCAAGAACUCUAUAACAGAGUCAAACAGGUUGUAGAAUCGAGUCAGACAAUUGCCUCUUGAUAGCCAACCAACUUCAGUAUGAAACAACAAGCGGUUGAAAUUCUCGUCGUUAGUAACACAUCUGAUGACAUAAUCUAUCAUUCAAAGAGCUGUUGCGGUUUUUAUUGACUGCUUUGAUGACAUAUUGCAGUGAUUGAAAUAGUUUUUCACUUAAGUUUCUAGCAACUAAAUGUUGUCUAUGAAUAACGCAAUGUACACCAAUGACAUCUGGAAUUUUAUUUUUUAAGUACGUUAUGAAGCCUUUAUGGCACCCUGUCAUAGCCGGAGCGCCAUCCGUAGCAACUGAAAUAAUAUUUUUCAAAGGAAUUUCUUUCUCAUCGCAAAACUUUUCCAAUAUUUUGAAUAUGGUUUCGCCUUUUGUAUCGGUCUCUAAAUUUCUUACAAAUAAUAGUUCUUCACAUAUUUUCUCAUCUUUAAUAAACCUCACGCAAGACAACAACAAUGCUUCAUUAGUUGGUAAAGUGGACUCAUCCAGCUGAAUUAAAAAUUGACUUGACCUCAGGUGAUCGUACAAUGAUUCUUCAAUGUUUUCAGCCAUUUCAUCAAUUCGUCUUUGCACAGAAUUAUUACUCAAAGGAAUUUUUCGGAUAAUAUCUGCGGCCGGUUUAUGAAGCACGGUAGUUAUUACUUCAUUUAUUGCUGGCAAUAUUAACUCUUCUCCGAUGUUAUGUGGUUUGCCUUUUUGAGCAAUUAACAAAGAGAUAUUGUACGAAGCUCGAAGUCCGUCGUCAUCUUGCUUAGCAGCUUCUUCUCUAGGUCUUGAAAAUAUGCUACAUUCUUGUCUCUCUUAUCUGGAUGCAUUUUAUUCAAAUGAUCUUGCAGUCGUGAAGGCUUCAUUGCUUCAUUCGAAAAUGUUUUUAGACAUAGAAGACACAAAGGCGAGGAUGUGUUUGUGGGAUUUUCAAUGAAUCCGAAUUUAAUGUAUUCCGCACAGUAUUGCCGUCUCUUCUUUUUUACUUCCGACAUUGUUUUGCUUUGAGAAAUACGUUUAACUUCGCGAGUAGUGUAAAGGAGGCGUAAGUAAUGCUCAUCUAUUGCGCGCAAAACCACAAAUGAAUAUAAAAUAAAUAU